CCUAGAACCCAGGAGCUGCUGCUCAGCCUGUGGGAGGGAGCGUGGGACGGGGAGACUCAAGAAGGCAGAGGGAAGACUGUGUUUCACAUUUGCAUCAGGCAUUUGGAAAGGAGAAUCCUGCUUCAGGGAGGUGUCUCUUGAAAAUGGCUAUAAAACUUCUUGUCAAAUUGGAGUACUUUGGAAUAUUUAGGAAAAGUUGGCAGAGAGGAGACAGGACUAAAGUGCAGCUCCCACUUGGAUGAACUGAACAGUGUGUGGAGACUCACAUUGUGAAUUUUUGCUCCAAGAACUACCUCAGGAACAUACCAGAAAAACCAAAAGAAUUCACAGACCCUUUGAAAAAAGUGGCUUGCCAGUGCAAACUCCAUGAGACAGCUGAAAAACUGUGCUCUCUGUACACAGAGGGUUUUGUCUGUUUGGUCACCGAUAUAUCUUCAGUGCCCAGAACAGUGCAUGGCAAUGGCAGACUCUCAACUGAUGGUUUAAAGAGGUUGUCUUUUCCAAGGCCCAUCACCUGCUUCACAGAUUAUAAAAUAUAUACAUGGCAAGAGAACCAGGACAAUGACUGACUAUGUGACUAUGACUAUGUGACUAUGACCGUAAGACACUAUGAAUGGCUCUUUCUUCCCUAAGCCUGCAUCUGGCUUCAGACCCUUCUCAGCAAGAAGCUCC
This 672-nucleotide long non-coding RNA is filed under the name Homo sapiens (human). RNAcentral describes it as "HSALNT0354361". The record is from RNAcentral. Lineage: Eukaryota; Metazoa; Chordata; Mammalia; Primates; Hominidae.